UUCAACGUAUAUCAAGGUGUUGUGAACCAUCACCAAUUAUGACAAAUAGUUCGAUACUGAUGAACAAUUUCGCAUACAAGUAUAUAAUGAGUAGAUCGAGAUUACAGACGAGAUUCAUAUCUGGUUUAUAAAAUGUUUAUGGUCAUUCAAAUAAGGAAAAUGUUGUUGAUCAUUCUCACAGGAAAUGCGCUAAAAUUUGCAUGGUUAGUUAUUUGGUGAAUAUGUUUAACUGGAUCAAUACUGACACCCACGGAUAAAAGACACUGCAUGUAUUACAUAAAUGUUUUUAGAAUGUUUUUUAAAAGUUAUAUGUGUGGAGUUGCUGAGGGAAUGCCAAUUAGACAACUAUUUAUUAGAGACCAUAUAGGACGAGAAUGCAAGGAACUAUAGGGUAGAUAUAAUAUAGAAAGUAAAAUAACAAAAAUACCAAACUCCAAGGAAAAUUCAAAUAGAAAAGUCCCUUACCAAAUGGCAAAAUCAAAAAUUCAAACACAUCAAAACAAUGGAAAACAAAUGUCAUAUUCCUGACUUGGUACAGGCAUUUCCAUAUGUAGAAAAUGGUGGAUUAGACCUGGUUUUAUAGCUAGUUAAACCUCUCACUUGUAUGACAGUCGCAUAAAAUUCCAUUUUAUUGACAACAAUGUGUGAACAAAACAAACAAACAUAAUAGGUAAAAAUGUCAAAAAUAGGGGUGCAGCAUUCAACAUUGUGUUAUAACCUUAAUCACUAUAAAAACAAACAAAUAUGUCAACAAAGAAAAACAAAAUGGCAUAUAGACAAAGCAUAUAAUCAAAAAUGAAAGACAAGAAUACGAAAAACGACCACAGCACAUUGACGGGAUGCAUAAGUUCUGACCCACGCCAAAAGGAUAUUACCAAAAAAUGGACCAAACAGUAAAGGUUAAUAAAUUUCAAAGACAAAAAAAAAAAAAAAAAAAAAAGAACAGCAUAACACGUAAUUAAGAUGAUAACAACGUCAGUACCUAGAAUCUAUACUUCAAGACCAUCAUGUAUUAUUUGUGAAGUUGAUACGGAAUAUUUGUCAACAAGGUCUUGGUAUCUUCCGAUGAACUUUUUAGAAAUAGGACGAGACGUUCUUUGCCAUAUAUAUUAUUAUAACCCUGGUUCAUCAACUUUCUGCUCAGACACUUGUGACGUUUUAUAAAGUCUGAGUAGCAGCCGCAAGCUCUUGAAUACCGAAUCAGUUAGGAAAUCUAUAUCCCAUAUACAGGUGAAGUUGGUAUAAUGCUACUAAGGUGGAGGAAAUUGAUAAUUUCAAAAUUAAAAUUGUCUCAUUUGUCAUAGAUUCUGGUAGCAAUAGAUUCGAGGUAUAAUGAAUGAAUAAGAUUUGUUGGUUUCAUAAUUAUGUUUCACUUAUAUGAAACGACAUCAUUGAAUCAAAAUACAGUCCAACCACUUUCAGAUGAAUUUAAAUCAGCACCGAUAUAAAAAUAAGGAGAUGGGGUAUGAUCGCCAAUGAGACAACUAUCCACCAAAGUUCAAAUGAAGUGGAUGUAAGCAAUUAUAGGCAACCGUGCGGCCUUCAACAAUGAGAAAAUCCCAUACCGUAUGGUCGGCUAUAAAAGGCUCCGACAUGAAAAAUGUGAAACAAUUCAAUUAAGAAAACUAACGGCCUAAUUUAUAACAAAACAGUUUACGAAAAACAAAUAUGACAGACAUGAACCAACGACAACAACUGAACUAAAGGCUCCUGACUUGGGACAGGCACAUACAGAAUGCGGCGGGGUUAAACAUGUUUGUUAGCGCUUUUACAUACUUUGGAAACUUGUUUUUUAAUAGAUGUUUCAUAUCUUUCAUGCCUACUGCGAAAAAAAUAAAUUUAAGGUUUUUUAUUCGGAGGUGUUCUCAUGUGGCUUCAAGAUUUGCAAGGGCUUCAUUGAUAUAUUGUUUUAUCUGCAGCUCUAGUUGUAGCAUUAUCCGUGGAAAUUUCUGCAGCUUUCGCAUCGUCUGCAUUGAAAUCGCCAUGGUCAGGCCCAUAAUUCAUUUGGUAAGUUCAGGUUCCUCUACUGCCCGAACAGGAGUAGGCGGCUCCUGAUCCCCACCAGCAGGAAGAUCUUUGAUUAUUUUAGCAGCCAUAUACUAGACAGCAGAUAACCAGAAAGCCGGAGCACCAAAAUAAAAAAAAAAAAAAAACGAAAAAAAAAAA
This is a long non-coding RNA of Mytilus californianus (California mussel), 2166 nucleotides long. RefSeq lists it as uncharacterized. Lineage: Eukaryota; Metazoa; Mollusca; Bivalvia; Mytilida; Mytilidae. The transcript has 4 exons. The record is from RefSeq and is a predicted model, not a curated record.